This 409-nucleotide ribosomal RNA is filed under the name Hyalomma aegyptium. RNAcentral's name for it is "partial 16S ribosomal RNA". The stretch from base 275 to 409 matches the Rfam family "Bacterial large subunit ribosomal RNA", at positions 2473 to 2608 of the family's 2925-position model. Lineage: Eukaryota; Metazoa; Arthropoda; Arachnida; Ixodida; Ixodidae. The record is from RNAcentral.
UGACUAUACAAAGGUAUUGUAAUAAGAUUUUAAUUGAAUGCUAAAAGAAUGGAAGUUUAGAAAAAGUCUUUUUAAAAAAUAAAAAUUAAAAUUUUUUUAAUUUGUGCAGAAACAAUUAUUUAUAUUAAAGACAAGAAGACCCUAAGAAUUUUCUGGUUCAAUAAUUUAUAUAUUUAAUUUAUUAAACCUUGGUUGGGGCGAUCAAAAAAUAUUAAUAACUUUUUUUCAUUAAAAUGAUCUAUUAUUAAUAAAUUAAUGAAUUAAAUACUCUAGGGAUAACAGCGUAAUAAUUUUUGAUAGAUCUUAUAGACAAAAUAGUUUGCGACCUCGAUGUUGGAUUAGGAUUCUUUUUUGGUGAAGAAACCAAAAAAAGAAGUUUGUUCAACUUUUAAACUCCUACUUGAUCUGA